Canis lupus familiaris (dog) is the source of this 9921-nucleotide long non-coding RNA. RefSeq lists it as uncharacterized. The transcript is spliced from 4 exons. The record is from RefSeq and is a predicted model, not a curated record. Lineage: Eukaryota; Metazoa; Chordata; Mammalia; Carnivora; Canidae.
CACUCCAUAAAUGUUCAUCUGUCACUACCCAGUAAGGGAUGCUUCAGGCCUUUGGCUUUUAUCCAUUAGCUGAUUAACUCUGGGCUCAGCAUCAUGCUGGAGUCUGGGGUGGGAUGCAGAAUUUCAGGGCAUGGUCCUUCACCUUCAACAAGUUCCCAGUCUUUUGGGGAGGACGCAGCAUGCACUGGAUAAAAGAGCUGAGCUUCAGUAAAACUACGUUCCUGCCUGGUCAGAGAGCACUCAGCAGGCAGGGAAGCUCAGACAGGAAGCAAGACUCACGUGGGCCCCACAGGAUUUCAAGCAGGAGAUGAGAGGACGCUUCAGGUGAGAGAAUUUGGUUAACAGGUUGGCAGUGGGAUGACAGUCAGUGCUGAGGGGACAGUGGGAGGCUGUCUAAUAGGCUUGAUGAGGUCAAGACAGACUAGAUUCUGAGAGAUCUUGAAAACCAGAUCACUACAGUCAUACUGGUGGGAGAGAGAGGUUCAUAUGCUCUAUGGCAGUGGAGCUUGGUAAGGACGGAACCAGCUCAGGAAGGUCAAGUUGGCAGCGGCCCCACAGAACACAGCUUGACCCUUCCCUAAUCCCUGGGGUGGAGGAUUCUAGUCCCUAGAACAAGGGAAGGGGAGCAAGGCUGCCAAAGGAGGGCCUUCCCUUGCAAUCCUCCACCUUUUUCUGUGACUCUCUUUUGCUUCUGCCAACAAGUUAUUACUCAUUCCCUACUUGAGGCUGUUGAUUCCCACCCCUGUGCCCUCAUGGCAGUCGCAGCCAGUCCACCUUCCUCUGUCCUUGCCUUUGCUCCCUCCAUUAAAAUUGGCUCCAGGUGUGCCAGGAAGCCACACCUGAUUAACCCUACCUGGGGUGCCCCUCCUCAACACAACACUGUGUCCUUGGUGUCCUUCCCUAUUGGUGAGGUCUUCUGGAUGAGAGGCGGCGUUCUGCCUCUAUGGAACAUGUUUUGCAUGUAUUUCAGAAUGGUGCCUGCCUUCUCCAACAAUAUAAACCAUCAGUACUCCAGGAGGUGAAGUCGACCUCAUUCUUAGUGUAGAUGACUAAUUAUUAUGCAAUUGGAGAAAGCAGAAAGUAAAGGGGCCCUUUGUUCCUGGAUGCUUAUUAAUAUUAAUAAAAAAGGUCUCCCCUUGCCAGCUUGGAAUCCUGCAGAACAGGAGGUAGGCAAAUAAUGCUUUUGAACAGCUGUGAUUGGCUGUUGGAAUUGGACCUGUCAGGAUGAGGGAGACACGAUGAAAUCUACUGUGUGGCAUGGAUAGGAAGGUUCCACCCAGCACCUCAACAUUCACACUAACCUAUGAGUUCCCGUAAGGGAAGGAUAUCUUGCAAGUGGUUGGAUAGGAUGCUAGAGACACCUUCCACCCAAUUUUAAUACAUGAUGAUAAUAGUCAUAUUCAUAAAACUGCUCCAUUAUGAGUGAGCCAAGUACUGUGCUACGGCCACCUGCCUUACCCCCAUCUAAUUCUCAUAAUCCUAUAAAGAGGGCACUCUCUUGUUCCCAUUUUUUAAAUCUUGAAACCGUGGCUUAAGUAGCUUGUCAGAGGUAGUAGAGACAAGAUUGGAACUUGGGUCUGUCUUGUCACAUCUGUGCUCUCAGCCAUGUCAGCGGAUGCUCCAUCAUACCAGCCCCUCCGAUUCCUGAGCAGAGGUCGGCAUUCUUAACACCUAUUCAAGGGCAAACCACCGCUGCCCAUCAACUUAAUUCUGCCCUUGUAUCCUUGGGGGAAGAGAGAACCUAAAACCAUUUACAAGAGGCCUCAGGAAGCAUUAUAUAUGCACAUUUUGCACCUGCUUCUGCGUCGCAGACUUGAGGUCAUGGUUGUGUCUGGCUUCGGCUGACAUUUCUGAUCUGGCUUCCAGUCCCUGAAUCCUUUUCCGACCACAGGCAGACAAAGGAGGCCCAGAGCAGGCGUGGUCGGGUAAGAGGGAGCCAGCCUGAAGGUAGUUAUUAUUCUGUGAAAGGGGCCUUUAGCUGAAACAGGACUGAAGGAAGUUAGCCACUGCCCAAAAGAAGCGAGGCCAUGGAGCCAGGGAGGGCCUCUUGGGGCAGGACAGACCUUCUCCCGCUCUCCUUAGGGAUGAGUCAACGUCCCUUCGGUGAGCAGUGAGGCCUGACUCUGGAAGGUCGCUGGGAAGCCCAGCCCAGCCGUGGGGCUGCGAGGGGAUUGGCCGCCCCGUUGCUGGGGCUUUGCUUUGGGCCAAUGGCCGUGAAGGGGCGGGGCCGGAGGCGGGAGCCCGGGAUCCUCGGCCAAUCAGCUUGCAGGGAGGUUGGGCACCCGGUACUAUGGCAACAGCGAGCAGGGGCUCAUUUGUUUUGUAGAUGAGUAAUUACUACGCAAUUAGAGAAAGCUAAAAAUAAAGAGGCCCUUUGUUCCUGGUUACUUAUUAAUAUUAAUAAAACGGUCUGUCCAGGUCUGUGGUGAGCAAUCAGUGCAGACCUGUGCGCCUGUGGUAGAGCACUGUGGGAGGCGAAGGCUCUCUUUCUGGAAGUUAUUUCUGACUGUAACCUGCAGAAGGUUGACUUUCCCGGCGGCCUCCGGGAGGAUAAGAACAUGAAAGAGUAGGGAAUCAGAAGGCUUGAUUCUGGUCUAGCUCUGCCAUCCAACAGGCUGGAAUCAUCUGGAGAGUUUUUGAAAUUCCUGGUAUCCAGGCCACCCUGCAGACCCAUCAAAUCAGAAUCGACCAGGGUCAGCCCCAGGCCUCAGUAGUAGUUAAAACUUGGACUCAAGUACCACCAGCUUCUUGUCAGCUUCACACCAUCUCUAUGACUUUAUCACCAGCAUCCAUAUCUCAAGUGAAUAAAUAGAACCAAGCCAGGUAGGUUGCCCCCACCUCAUCUCAUGACCAGGAGAGCUGGUCUGGAUCCUCAGCCUGCAGCCUGGGAGCCCAGGGCUGUCCUGCCUGCCCAGGAGGGCCAUCCCUCUAGGGCAGCCUGAAGGGGUCUUUGUCCUCACAGAUGAGAUUCGAGGACAGGCCUGUCCUAGCUGAGAUUAAGAGCAUGUGCACAUAGAACCAACGGCCUGAAGCAGCCAUAAACAUGGAAGCAGCCGCCCUCUUUGACUGUCUGAUGAAUGGGGGUCUUUUGGUUCUAACCCGUGUGCGCCUGGAGUCUGGAACCAGUGAACUUACAGAAGAGGCAGCAGGAUGUGAGUUUUAAAACCACCUGCUGCAGCCAAACCAUAAACAGCCAUCUUUCACGUUGAUCUCCCCUGUUUCCCAAAGUGCCAUAGAGGCUCAGGGCCGAGGCACCAUUGAGUCAUCCAUUCACUUCUAAGAGGGAUCAUGACCACCUUGCAUUUGAGACCAGACCAGACCUGAGCCAGGGCAGCCUGCUGAGAUCCUUUCAUCUGGUGAAGCCUUUGUGGCCCAGCAGACAGUUCACAUUGGCAGAGCAAGCACCAGGCGAGCACCAGAGACCCACCUCAUGGCCUUUCCUUCCCUGGAGCCUUUCUCCCCCUCCUUCCUUAGACACAUAACAACCAGGUCUGUCCCUGGGGACCCUUGGGGCCUGGGAGAAACAGGAACCUGAUGUUAACUCCAUGAAGUUCCUUCUUUGCCCUCAUGACAAAACCUGGGUUCUUUGGCCACCGGGACCUGCUCAAGGCUACUCCAUCCUCAGAAUUUACACCAUAAGCAGAUGGUAGUUAGCCACAUGUCUCUUUUCUCCUUGCCUACCUUCCCAACCAAUUCCAGCCUUGUCCGUUGUGAGGAGGAGACACAUCCACAGACCCAAAUCAGGGCCCAUAGUAGAAGAGCAUCAAGUUAGAGAACAAGCUAUUGUCUGUUGAGAUUGUAUGUCAACAUAAAGUAUGUAGUCCUAGCCACAAAGCUCUGCUCAGACAGGUUCAUUCUGGGUGUCUGGGGGCUUUCUGCUUACACUGAUUGAUCUGAGUGAUAGUACAGAUCUCCAGGUUCACUACUAACAUAUGAUGUGAGGCCUUUAGAGCCAGCCUGUAGUAAAGUUCCCUCUUCAGAGGGGUGUGCUUUGACCAGAAGCUUAGACCAUUUUACAUAAUAAUUAGUCCCAAGUCCUCUGUUCUGCCGUCCAUGCAUUCCCUACUUGAGCUAGCCAGCAUUAACCAGCAGACAUCAGCCCCAGCCCCAGCAGCCUAAAGCAGGUUAGGUUUUGAGAGAACAAGCAGAAACUGCAGUCUUCAAAGACCAAGGCACCGGGGCAGCCCUGGUGGCGCAGCAGUUUAGCGCCGCCUGCAGCCUGGGGUGUGAUCCUGGGGACCCUGGAUCGAGUCCCACAUCGGGCUCCCUGCACGGAGCCUGCUUCUCUCUCUGCCUGUUCCUAUGCCCCUCUCUCUCUCUGUGUCUCUAUGAAUAAAUAAAUAAAAUCUUUAAAAAAACAAAAAAAACAAAGACCAAGGCACCACAGUAACUGACAUUUGCAGUGUUUGUGACACUGACUUGCCUGCCACCCAGUGCAUGAGCAGACACUGUCCACGUGUCCCAUGUGGUAUUUAAGAUGGGCCAGGCAUCCCUGGAUAUGUCCGGAGUUGUUGACCUCAGGCUGAGUUCGUACCUCUGUAAUAUAUUUGUUUGUAUAUGGAGACAGGGAAACGGAAAUGCCAUCACAUUACCCUCUUAAUCCUCCCCUCGUGUUAAAGUGUUUCUCCUCCUGCCCUUCUGAAAUAGCCUGAGUUUUAGCAGAGCUUUCCCAGGUUGUAUAUAAUUGCUGGUCCUAUCUGUCUCUCCCACCUUCAGGCUAAGCUCCAGAAGGAAAGUUAGAGCCAGGAUCCCUGGGACAUAGUGGCCGGGCAGAGACUGCUGGAGCAUAAUUGUAAUUCCCCCUUGCUCUGCUGGAGACAUGCUGUAAUAAUUCACAGCUGAGUAUUUCUCCUUCCAUUAGCAGGAACAGGCUUAUCUUUCCAUGCUGACCUUUCCCAUUUGACCAUCUCCAUUAAUUUAUAGUGGGUCCUACUUUCAGAGGGCAUGGAGGAUCAGAGUGGGGUCCUUGACUCUGUUCCCAGGAAGGCCUUGGCUGCCCGGCUGCCAUUCUUCAGAGCCCAUGAGCAAGGAGUGGCUGGCUGUUGAGAGGGACCUGUGGAAGUCUCCAGUGUUGUAGGAGUCUUUUUUUUUUUUUUUUUAAAGAUUUAUUUAAGAGGGAGAGCACAUAGAGUCAGGAGAGGGGUAGAGGAAAAGGGAAAGGGAAAGAGAGGAGAGAAGCAGACUCUCCCCUGAGCAGGGAGCCCAACUCAAGGCCGGACCUCAUGAUCCCAAGAUCAUGAUCUGAGAUGAAAUCAAGGGUCCAUCACUUAACCAACUGAGCAACCCAGGCACUGGUGCUGUGGAGUUUUUAAUGAAGGCAGAUAGAAGCAUGACAUGGACAAGGUGAAGGUAGAGGGGAGAGUUGGAGGGGCAAUGACCUUGACCUCUGUUUCUCUGGCAUCAGCCUAUCACCACAGCCCCUCUACUCAUUCCUCUUUCAGUUUCUUUACAUUCUUUCAAACAAACAAAAAAAACCUAACACCCAGUGUGAUGGUUGAAAGAAAAUCACAGAGGCUUCUUUUCCCAGUCCUCCAUUCUGUCGGGAGCUGGGGGUUGGGAAGGGGAGCCCUGACACCAGGCAGCCCAUCCCUUCUCUUUGGCCCUGAAAUGCCCUGUGUCGUGAGUUCUGUUUUGGCAGCACCUUACCCUCAGAGCUGGACUGGGCGAGGACAGGCCUGCCAUUGCCUGUACCUCUCCCUAAGAAGCACAUGCUCUAGAAAUGUGAUGGGGGCCACCAGGGCCUCCCACCUGAGAUGAAACCUGGCAGCAGCCGAUAAUUCACAAGGUAGAUGAUUGCAAUUGUCUUGAGGGCUGGCCCUGCCCUUUGACGAAAUGCGAGACCCACCAGAGCAGGACCACGGUCUAACACUGGGACUUGGCGGGGCCCCAACCUGUCCCAGAUAUGUGGGCUGAGCUCACCUAGGGAGGAUUUUGUAAACAGUUCCUUUCUCUGGAUCAGCAAUAAUCCAAUUUUUGGAUCUUGAAGCCAGGCGCUCCUAGAGGUGCCCCCCUCAUAGUCCCAGGCUCUAGCUUUCUGCAUCACAUCCAAUGACAUCACUCAGGGAUCAGAUGGACACCGAGACUUCCACGCUUUUGGGGUUGUUCUGAGUCUCAGUGUGCUAGGACUCCCUGACCCCCACUCUCAGCCCAGCUGCUUCUGACCACAGUUGGGCAGAGCCACAGGCAGACUGUGUGCCUGCUUGGAGGCAGGCAUCUCCCUGGGUUUGCUUUAAAACCCUGAGGAACCCAUGAGCUUUGGAUCCAGUCCCUACAGGUAAGGAUGUAAGCCUGUAGGACACACCUUUGUGAGGGUCUCUGGGAUAAGAUUCCCUGGGGUUUCCUGGGUCAGCCAUGAAGGUACUUCAUUCCCUUGAUAGGAAGUUCCUCCUUUUAUCCAACUCAGAACGCCUCCAACUUUAAGUCAAAUGCAUUUCCUCUUGCUGGCCUCAGUGAGAUUCCAGGCCCUUGCUUUCCUGCCCCUUCCCGCCUCCCACCCUGUGUCUCAGAGUCCUUCAUCGGGUCCAAUGUGAUUAAAUCCCCUAGACAGAUGAAUUGAAGCCUUUUUUGUUUGAGGGGGGGUUUAAAAGAUUUUAUCUAUUUAUUCAUAAGGGACACAAAAAGAGAGGCAGAGACAUAAGCAGAGGGAGAAGCAGGCUCCUCACAGGGAGCCCGACAUGGGACUCAAUGCCCGGACCUGGGAUCAGGCCCUGAGCUGAAGGCAGAUGCUCAACCGCUGAGCUACCCAGACAUCCUGAAUUGCAGCCUUUUGUAAAUCACUUCCUGAUUGUGAACUAUAUUUUCCUAUACCAGAUUUUCCUAAAUUUGCCUAUGGUACCUGUAUUACUGGGCUCUGCAUCCACAACUAUUUUAAAAAUAGGCAUGUUUGUGCUUUCUCUCUGCCACUUUCAUGUAGCCUACUGAGAGGUAGACCAAGGCAGACAGCACUCACAUGGUGCAGAUGAGGACUCCUCCCCUACAGGCUGAAAGGUUUACCCACGGCACACAGCCAAGAGGUCAGUGCCAGGGUCACACUCAGGUCUUCUGACUCCAAGUCCAGUGCUCCUCUCUGCACCACAGCUGCCUCCCUGAGCGUACCGGCUGCCUGGACCCGGAAAGCCCAGAGGAUGCUGGGGACCAGGGGUGAGGGGUGAAGAGGAACUUGCCCAGAAUUAAACUACUGGUGGACAAGUAGCCUCAUCCCAACCCCUCACCCUUCACCCUGCCCAGUGAGCCCCCCUACUGCCUGGUGAGGGGCUUGCCCCAGGCUACCUAAUGCUCACAGCUUCUGCGGCAGAAAUGCCAAGGUGUUUGCAAGACAUUGUCCUCUCCUGAGACAGGAGUCAUGAUGUCCCAAUUUAUAAAUCUCAGCACUGUUUAUUCAGCAACACAUUCUGAGAUCCCUUCCCUACACACACACACACACACACACACACACACACACCCCUAGAGCAGAGCAUACCCUUGCCCAUUGAGAGUGAGGGUCCAUCCCCUCUUCCCACCCCAAUCCUGGCCUGCGGGGAGUGGUUUGGCCCCUCCAGAUGAGGCUGGGUGCCUGGGGAAAGGCACCUCCACCAAGACACUUCCCCGAGCACUGCCUGAGGGCUGACCGCCACAGAAUGCACCCUGGGGUCGGGGCUCAGCAUCUGCCUCCUCAGCCUGCCCCUCCCUCCGCUCAGGUCACCCAGCUCAGAGGGAGAGAGAGGGUCCUCGAGUGACCCCCCUUCCUGUGUAGCCAGCCGGUGUUCAGUAUGAACUCCCCAGAAGGCAACCCUUGGUCCCUGAGGCCUUCCCCCCGCCAGACAGAAGGAACAGCUACCGACAGACUGCAUGCAAAACGGCACUCCCUACUCUUCUGGGGCUCAGAGCCAUUUGCUUGCCGCGAGCCUGCCCAGAGAUGCAUGGGUGUCUGGAUGGCUUGUCUGGGGACUUUAACCCGCUUUCUGGCGCAGGGUCUCCUGCCUACCGAGAGACACGGAGGGAACUGCUGGCGCCGAGCGCGGUGGCCCGACUCCGCGAACUGCGGAACUGCUUAGCGCCUGCCAGCUGCGCCCCCUGGCCGAGACCCACACCCCGCUCCGGCCCGGGGCUGGGGGUGAGCCGCAAGGUGACUUUGAGCAGGCGUGGGGCACCGUGAGGGGCACGUGUAUGACGAUAAUGGGACGUGAGUUUUCAGAGCUGUGUCCUGAUCGGAUGCCUUCAGCGUUGUGACUGAGCAGGGAGGGCCGUCGUGCGUAGGCUAAGAGGUGCUGCUUAUCCUGCUAACCAUGGAAUCCCUUUGGCCCCCGGGGCACACAGGCCUGGGGGAAGUAGAGGGGGCUGUUUCUGGACGGCAGCCUUCUAUGGGCAUGCUCCAUCCUGUCUCUGAAGCCACUUCUGCUGGCUCCAUUAGUCUCUGGGUGGCUCUCCCAGCUGGAGGGAGCCAAGACCCAAACCCCCUUCUCCUAAGCCCCUCAAUAGGUGGGCCUGCUCACACUCUUCCUGCAUCUUCAUCUGGCCCAGAGGAGCAAGAAGCCAAAAAAAAAAAAAAAAAUCUUUCCAUCUUCCACUGCAGGGUCUCCUCCCCUAGCCUCUCUUUACCCUGAAACAGAACUGGCUGGUUACUUUGCAUAGCAGGGGUCAGCUGCCAGGCUAAACCCAGAGUUCACUGUCUGAGCUCAGCUCGCUCCAUUUUCCCUAGCCCAGAGCAAAGAAAAAAAAAAGUGUCAGACCGAGAUAAUACCGUCUUUGAAUAUCUCAGCUUGAUAUUUGCCUCCAUGAGUGAGAAAGGCCAAAUGUUAUCUGCAAGUUUAAUCUUCUGUAUUCAGAAUUCCUGCCCUCUUUGUCUGCCAGUGCAUUCGCAAAUCAGCCAUUCACUUGCUCUAAGCCUCUGUGAUUUUUUUUUUCUCUUUAACCUGUUUUUUCCAUCUGCUAGUUGACUCAUUUCUCAGCUCCUGCUUCCCAGGGGCCUCACUCUAGAGCCUCCUGCCCCAAGGGCACCUGGAGGUAUCAGUUUCCCUUUUUCUGUGCUCAGUCACAAGCCAGAUGCUGCUUGGUUUGAUCUUUGUAUCUCUGUGCCCCAUCUCAGUCUCUGCCAGCCUGGCUGGGGUUGCGUGGUCAACCUCUUCCCAUCCCCAGCACAGGCGGGUAAAAAAAUCAAUCCACGUUGAGCUCUUCAAGCCCCACCAGAUGUGAGGGGACCGCAGGCACAGGUCCCUGGGGCAAGGUCACAGCCAAGAGUGGGGCUGCAGGUGUUAGAGGCAGCUGGUCACCGGACAGAGAGGGAAAUGCCACGGGAAGCAGAGGGAGAAGAUUGCAGUGAAAAGCGGCGCCUUGGAGCCAAAGUCGUGGCAAUAGGCGGUGUCCGGCUUGUCUGGUUCUUCCACUUGGGUUAGCCGUAGCCCCCAAAGUGGCUGGUCCCAGACUCACCUUCAGCUUUCAAAAUCAAUGAGAACUUACUUUUGCAAUUAAAAAAAGAAUAUUCCCCCCAUUUUGUAAAGAAAACUGCUGCUAAGGGGAAAUGAAAGAUGAGACAAAAUUUAACCCAGGUGCCGCUGUGGCCCUCACUGAAGAAGGAAUGAUGGGAUUGGGGGGGAGCAGGGUGGCUACAGAUGGAGGCCCAGGCGGUGUCUCCUCCCGCUGCCCCUCCUCACCACCACUCUCAGGAUCUGUGGCUGUGGUCUCCUCUCUAGAGCACAGGUGCAUUCCUAGCUCUUUGUCUCAGUCUGGAGUUUUAUGAGGUUAAGAGAGAGCAGCCAUUUCAGUCAGAUAUGCUUUAGCUGUAAAUCGGUUCGGUCAGUAUGCUCUGCAUUCAUACUUCUUUGUCUUUUUUUUUUUAAACAAAAGGAAAAAAAAGUUUAAACCCCCCCCUUUCCUUCUACUGCAGGAGGUGAGUGUGUGGGUGUCCUGUAGAACCAUUGGCAUUCACCCAGCUUCGGCCCCAGU